CCUACGGGAGGCAGCAGUGAGGAAUAUUGGUCAAUGGACGCGAGCCUGAACCAGUCAAGUCGCGUGAAGGAUGACUGCCCUACGGGUUGUAAACUUCUUUUGUAAAGGAGUAAAGUGAGACACGUGUGCCUUUUUGUAUGUACUUUAUGAAUAAGGAUCGGCUAACUCCGUGCCAGCAGCCGCGGUAAUACGGAGGAUCCGAGCGUUAUCCGGAUUUAUUGGGUUUAAAGGGAGCGUAGAUGGUUGGUUAAGUCAGUUGUGAAAGUUUGCGGCUCAACCGUAAAAUUGCAAUUGAUACUGGCAGUCUUGAGUGUAGUUGAGGUAGGCGGAAUGUGUGGUGUAGCGGUGAAAUGCUUAGAGAUCACGAAGAACUCCGAUUGCGAAGGCAGCUUACUAAGCUGCCACUGACAUUGAUGCUCGAAAGUGUGGGUAUCAAACAGGAUUAGAUACCCGUGUAGUC
RNAcentral lists this ribosomal RNA (460 nucleotides) under uncultured bacterium. Its description in RNAcentral is "partial 16S ribosomal RNA". It matches the Rfam family "Bacterial small subunit ribosomal RNA", at positions 338 to 795 of the family's 1533-position model. The record is from RNAcentral.